RNAcentral lists this ribosomal RNA (406 nucleotides) under uncultured bacterium. RNAcentral's name for it is "partial 16S ribosomal RNA". It matches the Rfam family "Bacterial small subunit ribosomal RNA", at positions 30 to 526 of the family's 1533-position model. The record is from RNAcentral.
AUUGAACGCUGGCGGCAGGCCUAACACAUGCAAGUCGAACGGGUGGCGGACGGGUUAGUAAUGUCUGGGAAACUGCCUGAUGGAGGGGGAUAACUACUGGAAACGGUAGCUAAUACCGCAUACCAUCAGAUGUGCCCAGAUGGGAUUAGCUAGGUGGUGGGGUACAGGCUCACCAAGGAGACGAUCCCUAGCUGGUCUUAGAGGAUGACCAGCCAAACUGGAACUGAGACACGGUCCAGCCUCCUACGGGAGGCAGCAGUGGGGAAUAUUGCACAAUGGGCGAAAGCCUGAUGCAGCCAUGCCGCGUGUAUGAAGAAGGCCUUCGGGUUGUAAAGUACUUUCAGCUGGGAGGCGUUACCCGCAGAAGAAGCACCGGCUAACGCCGUGCCAGCAGCCGCGGUAAUAC